UACGUAGGUGGCAAGCGUUGUCCGGAUUUACUGGGCGUAAAGAGCGCGCAGGCGGUCGUUCAAGUCGCGUGUGAAAGCCCCCGGCUCAACUGGGGAGGGUCACGCGAUACUGAUCGACUCGAAGGCAGGAGAGGGUAGUGGAAUUCCCGGUGUAGUGGUGAAAUGCGUAGAUAUCGGGAGGAAUACCAGUGGCGAAGGCGACUACCUGGCCUGUUCUUGACGCUGAGGCGCGAAAGCUAGGGGAGCAAACGGG
Molecule: ribosomal RNA, 253 nt
Filed under: uncultured bacterium
Lineage: Bacteria
Description: partial 16S ribosomal RNA
Rfam family: Bacterial small subunit ribosomal RNA
Source: RNAcentral